Molecule: ribosomal RNA, 301 nt
Filed under: uncultured bacterium
Lineage: Bacteria
Description: partial 16S ribosomal RNA
Rfam family: Bacterial small subunit ribosomal RNA
Source: RNAcentral
CAGCCGCCGCGGGUAAUACAGAGGGUGCGAGCGUUAAUCGGAUUUACUGGGCGUAAAGCGUGCGUAGGCGGCUUCUUAAGUCGGAUGUGAAAUCCCUGAGCUUAACUUAGGAAUUGCAUUCGAUACUGGGAAGCUAGAGUAUGGGAGAGGAUGGUAGAAUUCCAGGUGUAGCGGUGAAAUGCGUAGAGAUCUGGAGGAAUACCGAUGGCGAAGGCAGCCAUCUGGCCUAAUACUGACGCUGAGGUACGAAAGCAUGGGGAGCAAACAGGAUUAGAUACCCGCGUAGUCCCUGUCUCUUAUA